This is a non-coding RNA of Cyanistes caeruleus (blue tit), 1261 nucleotides long. The record is from RefSeq and is a predicted model, not a curated record. NCBI's taxonomy places the organism in Eukaryota, Metazoa, Chordata, Aves, Passeriformes, Paridae.
AUCGCUGUGAGAGUGGCCUGGUCAUGGUGACAAAGCCUGAUAUUGAAGGGGAUUUGGGAAGCAAGGAUUCCAGUGCCAAGUUUGCUGUUUUGUGGUUCAUAAGAGGUGCCAUGAGUUCGUUACCUUCUCCUGUCCUGGGGCUGACAAGGGGCCCGACACUGAUCUCAAGCAGGCUCUUGGAAUUUGGGAGUUGUGUGUUUGAAGUGCCUUGAGCUCCAGAGAGGUGAAGCCCAGCUCAGCCCUGCAUGGGUGAUGUUCUCGUCCCUGAUUUGUCUGGAGGUUGUUGAUGGCAAAACCCCUGCUGGACCCAAAAUUUCAGCAAAAGUCUGAACAAUUAAAGGAUAUCUGCUGAAUUCCUCAUUCUCUGAACACAGUUCAAGCAAUGAUUUGUAGGUAUGAGCUAUAUACCUACAUUUUCUAAUCAGAAAAUGAUUUCUGAUUUACUUUGGUCACUCCUAAAACCACAAGGAGGAUAACCCAAAUCUGGUUUUAGCUUGGUGCUCAGUUGUGCUGCAGGAUAUUGAUGGAAGUUCCUCUUGAUUGAGAGUUUUAGUGGUGGCAUUCAUGAGCAGCUCUGUUGUGUCCAUAAUGAAUGUUUGGCUCUUGAAAGUGUUCCUGAUUAUUUACUUUUUUUUUGUAAAAUGGCUCUUUGGGAUGGUUCACCUGAAGCUGAGGAAUGAGAACACACAUUUGUGUGUGAGACCAUUUAAUUUUACUGAGAAUCUUUUCGUGGUGACAGAAUCUGUGGCAGGUUGUUAAUGGUCUUUCAUAUUGCUGACUGCAUUUUGUGAUUUGGGUUUUUUGCCUCGGUGAUUAAAUAAAUCAGCCUAAUGCCUCCUUUCUGUAUUUGGGUUACCAAAUGAUCAUUUUCAAUAUUUACACAGCAGCAAUAGCUCAAAAACAGUUUGAAGAUUAAAAGCAAUCGGAAAAUAAAUAUGUUUUAUUAGAAUUGUGCUACAUUAGUGGGUACUAUUACACAAAGAGGAUUGUAGAAUAUUAUACUUUAAUUUACUGAAAUGUUUGACUAUAAUUUCAACCCUUUUACAAUUCAGCACCUUAUUCCUAUCCCGAUUGUUACACAAGCUUUGUUCUGAAAUGAAGUGUGCUGCAAAGCUUAUCAUAACAUUUAGCAGAUUUUUAAAUAUUAAAACAUCCUUUUCUAAAUUACUUUGUGCAGGUGCACAAUUAAUUUGUGUACUCAAAUGCUCCAGUGCAACCUUUCCAUUAAUUGUAAGAGUAAUACUGUCAUUAAUAAAAUUAA